Molecule: long non-coding RNA, 546 nt
Organism: Prinia subflava (tawny-flanked prinia)
Lineage: Eukaryota; Metazoa; Chordata; Aves; Passeriformes; Cisticolidae
Exons: 3
Source: RefSeq, a predicted model, not a curated record
GUUGUUCCAGGGAGUGUCUGACUAGUUCUGCAGCUUGGCAAAAAAGCCAGACGUUACCUCAUAGCUGCGGCCAGACAGCCCAUUUCUAUGCCAGGCAACCACUGCAGAAGCACAGAGCACAGGGCCCUGCUUGAUUAGCACUUCUGCUGUUUCGAGAGUCCUGGAGUGUUUUGUUCAAGCAGAGCACUGCAAAACUGGCAUCUGCCAGAAGGAUUUGUUCCAUCCCUGAAUAGCUGCACCUCUGGUUCCCCCCGCGCUGCUGUCAGGUACAAACAGGUUCACACCUGCUGCAUAGCUCGGGCUUGAAGGAAUGCAUGUGCAAAUCUGGCAGAUUAAAUGCUUGAAGGAACUGCACAGUCAGGCUCCCAGAAAAUGAGGGCGCACACCAAAAAAUCAGCACCUCAGCACACAACCAGGUGAGCACAUCAGGGGCAGGGAGGGAAUCCAGGGCAAGGCCGCCUAUCCCGACCUUCCUGCGGCCCAGGAAGGACGCAGAACCUGCAGAGAGGAGCAGGCAUUGCUGUCCUCCUACCUGGCCAGUGUUUU